UUUGGCAAAAUGAUUUAAUUCUUGAUUAAGUUUUGUAAAUUACAGGAAUCCCGUCUUACGACCGUCAAUAUAAUAAAAAUAGAUUCAACACCCCCUUCAAAAAAAAAAAAAAAAGAAAGAAAAAAAAUCUCUUGAAGAGAGGGAGGAAGUGACUGACCUGCUGGUCUUACGUUGGGAACUACCAUAUCUCAAAGCUUUGCAUAUAGUUGCUUAAAAAAAAAAAAGUUGACCAGGUCGUACCAUAACCAGUUGUCCAUUACUUAUGGCUGCUCUGACAAUGUAUAAUCCUUUAUGGUCUUCAGAGGAUGGCUGGUAACAGUCCAUGUUCAAAAUGAAGCCUGAGAACUUGAUCUUCCCUCUGCAAAAAAAAAAAAAAAAAAAAAAAAAAAAAAAAAAAAAAAAAAUCUCAGGAUUUAGCUCCUACUGAACACAAAUCUCUUCUGUGUGUUAUCUACACACCUGUAUAUCAUCAAACCUCUUUUCUUACUGGAGACUUGAUGGGGCCGUUCAGGCUGUGUUGCCACGAAGGUGCUGGCAGCAGAUAAGUUAGCUAGUCAGGAUUCAGGUGAGUUGUCAUGUCCUCUGGAGGAGGAUCCUGCCAAUGUGCUUGGGUGUCUUGAAUGCCAAGCCGGGGUCUUGGAAAUCAUCCAGGCCUGUUAAUGUUGGUCCGUGGAAGUGGAGUGAUGCUAGUGAGUGGACAAGAACAGUGCGGUGGGAGCGGUGGCGAGGACAGUGGAGUGUCUUGGCUGUGUAGGCAGUAAAGGGUGUCUGUCAAGCAUAGCUUUUACAUGUGGGCAUUGUGGCAUCAAACCUUAAUAUGUAAAUGUAACGAGCUCCACAAGGGUUUUUCCUCCUCAAGUUAUUCAAAUCGCGCGGGUAAGGUUAGGUUUAUAGAGGGCGCAGUGGUAGUAGGAGAACGACAACAGCAGGACGCCAUUGCUAUCAUAGCCCCUUGGCCGCCUGUGCCACUGGUGAGAGAAGUUCUUUGGACUGUGACCUUGCUGCUGUGCAAUGUUAUUCCUCUUCGAGGUUUUGGUGAGCUGAGGGCCGAGCAGGAACACCUUGACUGAACGUAUCGUGCCUGAGUGGACACCUGGGGCGGAGGGACAGCCAUGCGUGCAGCUGAGUCCAGAAAGAAGAACAAGAAGAAGAAGAAGAAGAAGAGGAGGAGCAAGAAGAAGAAGAAAAAGAUUCGAGAUGCAGAGAUAUUAAUUUUAGUUUAAAUUCUGAGGUGUAGUGUUACGAAUGUAAGAAAAAGAAGUCACAGAAAGAGGAAAAGUGGUGUAUGAAUAAAAGAUGCUGAAAACUAUGUUUUCAAGGGAAAAAAAAUAAACACUAGUACAAUUAAAGAAUUUAUUUAAAUUAACUAACAAAUUAACUUUAACUCUUUCCUGGUUCGUUCUUUCUUUCUUUCUUUCUUUCUUUCUUUCUUUCUUUCUUGUUAGCCCUUGGUUGCUCUCCCUAAUGCAUAGAAACUUAUAUCCUAGGAUAGUAAAUUAACCAAGGAUUGUCCAAAAGUUGUGACGCUUUUGUGGUAUUUUUCCCCCUGCCACCAUGCCCUUUGUCAUUGUUGCUUGUGGCGCCAUUAUUUCCUUUCCAUGUGCCAUUAUUUCUCGUGCCAUUAAUUCUUGUACCA
Molecule: long non-coding RNA, 1636 nt
Organism: Scylla paramamosain (green mud crab)
Lineage: Eukaryota; Metazoa; Arthropoda; Malacostraca; Decapoda; Portunidae
Exons: 4
Source: RefSeq, a predicted model, not a curated record